UCCUAAGGAGCCGUUCGUAAAUUUUUCCUAUCGUCGGGAGGAGACUAAUCGGACGGUAUUUUAGUGCUAGAAACUUUGCUCUCUUUUAUUUAUUUGAUAAUAAUAGAAGACGACUGUGAUUUAUAAACGUUAUUUAGUGUUUGAACCAGCAUAUAUAUUAAAGGUAAGUCUCAGUCGUUAUUGGUUUUAAUGUAUUUGAUUAAAUAAAAAUACAUGUAAAAAUCUGUUGUUUUUGGGGAUAUUGGGGACGUGUUAGGUCUUCGAUCAACAAUAGUAACUAGAUUUCGGGUCGUGCAUAAAAUCCGUCUUGUCAAAUAACAGCGCACUUGAAAUGUGAGCUCUUAUUUUGUUUAGUUCACUUCAAACACAGCCAAUGUCAACCCGUCUCACAAUACCGCAGUGUGUAUUCAAAAGUUGCAAAAAUAAGGCCCGAAAAAGCAAUUUAACGGCCGGAGUAUCUUACUUUCGCUUUCCUAGCAAUCACGUGUGCAGAAUGGAUCUCGAUUGUCGCCAGAGAAACAAGAGAUGACUUUUAUAAGCCAGCUAAGAACUCCGCUUAUUGACACUGGACAUCUUUGCCUUCCGUGCUCACGGCUACUGAAAUGUGGCCGAAACAUUGUAAUAAAAAUACCACGCUUGAAACCGUUUAAA
Long non-coding RNA from Bombyx mori (domestic silkworm), 651 nucleotides. RefSeq lists it as uncharacterized. The record is from RefSeq and is a predicted model, not a curated record. NCBI's taxonomy places the organism in Eukaryota, Metazoa, Arthropoda, Insecta, Lepidoptera, Bombycidae. The transcript has 2 exons.